CAGUCGCCGCGGUAAUACGAAGGGGGCUAGCGUUGUUCGGAUUUACUGGGCGUAAAGCGCACGUAGGCGGACUUUUAAGUCAGGGGUGAAAUCCCGGGGCUCAACCCCGGAACUGCCUUUGAUACUGGGAGUCUUGAGUUCGAGAGAGGUGAGUGGAAUUGCGAGUGCAGAGGUGAAAUUCGUAGAUAUUCGCAGGAACACCAGUGGCGAAGGCGGCUCACUGGCUCGAUACUGACGCUGAGGUGCGAAAGCGUGGGGAGCAAAUGGGAUUAGAUACCCCGGUAGUCCCUGUCUCUUAUAC
RNAcentral lists this ribosomal RNA (301 nucleotides) under uncultured bacterium. RNAcentral describes it as "partial 16S ribosomal RNA". It matches the Rfam family "Bacterial small subunit ribosomal RNA", at positions 509 to 807 of the family's 1533-position model. The record is from RNAcentral.